Molecule: small RNA, 985 nt
Filed under: Histoplasma ohiense
Lineage: Eukaryota; Fungi; Ascomycota; Eurotiomycetes; Onygenales; Ajellomycetaceae
Description: hypothetical lncRNA
Source: RNAcentral
GACGUGUCAACAAAUUGCGCGAUUGGGAGUAGGCUCUGGAUUGUCCGACCCGGACUGGCAAACCGGCCUCCGCUGAAACCCGGAAUUUAAGGGGGAAAGUAUGGCAUUCUAAGGCUGAAGAAAAUGUAGCGGUCAAUGGUAUGCGUAUUGGCGAGUUAACUAUGUCCGGAGAACGAAAGUCCACGCACUCGCAUAUAUGGUCGUUGAGUGAAGGAAGUUGAAAUCUUCUCGAUCGAUCAUCCAACGCGAUGACGCGCUGGAACCGCGACGGAAACACGCUAGGGCUGGAUCUUAUCUUAUCGAUAAAGAAGCUUGGCAUUCAGCCACAUGUAGUCUCACGUGAUAUCCACUGUCCUCGAUCGAAUGGAGAAGCCUCAUUUCAGCAGACGAGCAUCAAUUAGUCUAUCUACGCAUAACGGGGGGAAACAGGGAUAGAAGGUAAACGACAAUGGAGUUCCCAAGCAUAGAGGAAAAGCCUUCUUGAAUGAAAAGACAAGAAAUACAAAUUCGCAAGCAGACACCGCAUUGUCCCAUGUCUUCCAACCAUUCGCCCAUUUCCCAUUUCAUUCCUCAUCCUUCCAUUUUUAUACUUAUUUUCCUUCCGGGGUAAUAUUUUCCAAUUGGAAUUCCAAUCCGCUUUUAUCAGUCCCGCAUCUGGACACUCAGAAGCCCAUCUCACGUCCCCUGGUCGAGAAGCCAAGCACAAGAGCAACACACCACAGCAAAGUUUUGAGGCGAAAAGCAUGGGUCGCAGAGGAACAGAGAGCAAAACAUCAUCAAGUAAAAAAAAAAAUUAAAAAAUUAAAAAACGGUGAGAUGAAGAUGAGGAUUACCAAACGAAAAACAUCAGGAGCGAGCCGAAAAUGGCUAUCAACAAAGCUUGCUGGGGACGAGAGUAAAAGAAGAAGAGAGCAGAAAUACAGAGUAGAUAGAAGCAUACGUAAAUUGAGGCCCAGGAAAGGGGGAAAGUGAAGGAUAGGAAAGU